UCCUUCUCCAAUGCAUGAAAGUGAAAAGUGAAAGUGAAGUCGCUUAGUUUCAGGGUUAGAUCCUCUGAAGCUGGGAGUAGCUACUCUAACGACACCCUUGGUGAGAUAGUGAUCCCGUUUUCGCAGUUGGCAUGUCUGAAUGCAAAGACUGUUUAUAGAGCAGCGUAAUUAGUAGAUACUUCAUGGAAGUGAUUGCUGCCGGUUCAAUUAUUCUUUAAUAGAUUGGCUAGAUCAAGGCGCUGCUCGGUAAGGAGAAGCAAUCUUUCUUUUCUCCCUAUCACGGAAUCUCCACAGAACAUGCCUGUGGGCUCCUUGCCUUCUCAACCCUCCCUGCCGAACCUUGUUCUGUACUUGCCCCUCAGACUAUGAGACUCCAGCAACCCUGGAUUGCACCGGGUGUUUCUUGCCCUUGGUGUGGGACCUCAAAGGAACCGAAAUCCCAACUCUUAUCCUCAUCCCCUUGGCCAGAUCUCUUGAUUCUGGGCUUCCAAGUUCCCUCCUGCUGAGGCUUGAGUUCUUGAAGAGAACCACAAAGCUGAGACAGGACAGUCUGUGGUCUUGGACAGCCCAUGGAAUCUUGGUUUCAUCUCAUAACGAGAGUAAUAAAAGCCAUUUUUUAUCUGCCUUGCAGGGCUGUUAUGAGGAUCAAAAGAAGGAAAGUCUACCCAAGUCUAAGCUUUGUGUUAAAGCCCAGUACAAAUGUUUCCUGUUACCUAUUUCUAUAUAAUUUGGUUUUUAAUGUUACAUAGUAUCUUUAGUGACUCUCCCCAUAGCCAAUGUUGUUAUUAAUAUCUCUUUACUCAUCUGGAAUAAAAAAGGUUUAAUGCAAUAUUUUCUACCUGGAAAAGUUGUGAAUAAGGAAAAAGGGGGUCAGUGUCUUCAGCAACAGCCCGUUAAAUGCCCCUGUAAAGAGGAUGCCUGGGCCUACCCGGGUGCGCAUCUCUAAAACAGGUUCCUGCUCUGGUCACUGGCUACAGAUCUGGCUCCUGUUCAUUUGGGAACUGCUGACGUUGAAUUUUCACCAGCUUUGAUUUUCCAUCAACCUUCAUUUCUUCCUUCCUCCCUCCCUGGCUUCCCAAGCUUCUGUGCUGUUCAGACCUUUGGCACACAGGACUGCUGACA
This is a long non-coding RNA of Bubalus bubalis (water buffalo), 1122 nucleotides long. RefSeq lists it as uncharacterized. The transcript is spliced from 3 exons. The record is from RefSeq and is a predicted model, not a curated record. Lineage: Eukaryota; Metazoa; Chordata; Mammalia; Artiodactyla; Bovidae.